Long non-coding RNA from Cervus elaphus (red deer), 142 nucleotides. RefSeq lists it as uncharacterized. The record is from RefSeq and is a predicted model, not a curated record. The transcript is spliced from 3 exons. Lineage: Eukaryota; Metazoa; Chordata; Mammalia; Artiodactyla; Cervidae.
UCAGGCUCUUUGAGUGCUUGCUUCAGUACUAGUGGCACACAUGCUUAGUCGCUCCGCAGCAUGUAGGAUCUUCCUGGACCAGGGAUGGAACCUGUGUCCCCUGCACUGGCAGAUGGUCUCUUAACCACUGGACCACCAGGGA